This is a small nucleolar RNA of Artibeus jamaicensis (Jamaican fruit-eating bat), 107 nucleotides long. NCBI's taxonomy places the organism in Eukaryota, Metazoa, Chordata, Mammalia, Chiroptera, Phyllostomidae. The record is from RefSeq and is a predicted model, not a curated record.
GUGCCUGCACAGCGCCAGGGGCCAGGCUGCAGCACCAGAGCACGUGCUCGCCCAUAACUGGGGCUGGUUGCUCUCCAUAGCGGCUCUUUUCAGUGCAAGAGACAUGG